Molecule: non-coding RNA, 67 nt
Filed under: Variovorax sp. PAMC 28711
Lineage: Bacteria; Pseudomonadati; Pseudomonadota; Betaproteobacteria; Burkholderiales; Comamonadaceae
Also listed under: 1 other name
Description: Xanthine riboswitch aptamer (NMT1 RNA)
Rfam family: Xanthine riboswitch aptamer (NMT1 RNA)
About the family: Later it was reported as a ncRNA that recognised Xanthine.
Source: Rfam by way of RNAcentral
CGCAAGAGUAGAAGCGUUCAGCUGCGCACGCACCACCGACGUGCGCCGCCCGGAAAUUGCUCUUGAA